CUCAGCUCCCAGCCCCGCCCGCCCCGGCGGGGGAGCAAACAAGCCUCUCGGCCUGCUGAGUGCCGGUCGGCCCACCAUGUUUUUUGAGAGGAUAGAAGUGAGGGAGAAGAUAUUGGGAGAGAAGUGAAGAAUUUUCUGAUCUACUUUUGGCUGGAUGAGGCUGCUCUAGUUCCUGAGACAAAGUAUGGUAGGCCACUAAUGUUUUUUUUACAUCCAGUUCCAUCAGCCUUGUACUUAGUAGAAAUCCAUACUUAGUGGAGUUAGAAUUCUGACCACAGGUUAUCUGCUGAACUUAGGUUUUGGUUUUGUGGUGAGUUUUCCUUUUUUAUGUGUUUAUGUGUAUUUUAGUGGGAUAUUAGGAGAAAUUGCAUUAGAUAACUAAACAGAUGCCAUUUUUAAUUGGAAUGAUGUAGAGUUUUUAUCUGCUGAGCUAGCAAAUUGCUCAUAUCCUGCCUUGUUUCAAGUAACAGAGGAGUAGCUGUGGGAGGCACGGAGUGGCCUAAGUACAGCCCUUAUCUGUCUGGUGUGGGAGGAAAGGGAGCCCACUCUUCAGUUUGGGAUUGUGUGAUGUCGACUGUCUGGCCACAUGGGGAAUGGGAUGCGGAUGUUAACACAAGUUCAGAUGGAUACUGGUGUUAUGCCAUGAUUCCAUUUAGGAAAAGGGGGAGCUAUUCUUUGACUGAUUCAUGAAGUAUUUAGGAGAGUGUCUGGCAGAUAGGAAGCGCUAUAAGUGUUUUUGAAUCAAACAACCCUAUGAGGUAGGUACUAUUAUCAUACCCAUUUUAUAGAUGAGGAAACUGAGGUUCUGUAAUUUGCCUAAGGUCACACAUUUAAUAGAAGGUAGAGUCUGGGUCCACCUCCAGGCAGCUUUGUUCAAGAUCUCCCAUUCUUAACCACUUGUCAAUUGCCAUACUUGAAAAUCAUUUGGGAUUCUGCCCUGGGCCUCGUUGAGACCACAUUAGUCAUCCCAAAAUGGAAGACAAAUCAGCAGAAUUGCUUUUGUUCCCAUCAAACGAGGUUUAUUAGAAAACCCUCUCAAGUCUUAAUGCUGCCGUUGAGAGUGUCGUCUCUUAAACUGGAAACACCAAUUUUCCAUCUCUCCCCAGGCAUAACUGUUGUUCCCUGGAGCAGAAUAAAAGCAUUGGUGCCUUCCAGGGAAACCUGCCUGAUUCUGCUGGGAUUGGGGAGAGGAAUUGAUGGUGAAUUUCAUCACAUUCCCUACCUCCACCCUCUAUCAAGAUGGAUUGUCUCCUCUGUCCUAUUAAUAAGAAACAGAGAAAACAUGUAAACAGUCCUGGGAAAGGAGGCAUCAAACUAAAUUAACAGUAAAGCAUCGAUGAGAUCUUUCAUCCCAAGUGGAAAAUCUCAAGGACACGGCAGCUCAGAAAAAAAAGAAAGAAAGGAAGGCUCUAGAAAAACUGUAAUGAGGUCACAGUAGAGAGGCCAAAUGUACUGAUGACAAGGCUUCCAAGCCUGGUUCUGCCCAGGCUGAUCCUGCAAACCUGUGAUCACUAGGGAUAGCACUUUACUGAGGGGUGACAACCAGGCAGAGGGCUGUGACACUGAAGAGUCCAUGGGAGGGGACAUUCCUCAGACACUGACAUAUUUUGCUGAUACACUAAGAGAAGGAUUUGAGACAUUGAAGCCCUGAACUUCGAUCUCAGAAUAACUCUGACCCACUCCAGCGGCAGCAUCCAGCCUCGUAGUCGUUUGUUCCAAGGAAGGGUGAUGUUGGUGUUGGACUGACCUGCGAAGUCCCCAUCAGCCACCAUGAAAGACCCUCUUACAAUCAGAGCAUCAGCUAAGUGUUUUCUUCAUAAACUGUAAUUGUUAACCUUUAUGAAAUCACUAUUAGGAAUUACUGAGUUCUCAAAAGUUAAAUCAGCCAUUAUUUCUUCAUUGGACAUUUUUCCUUCCUUUUUAUCUUCAAAGAUAUCUAUAACAAUAUAGAUAGAGAUCACGUAUUUAUCAGUAUAAGCUAAUAUAUUGGCUUACAUUAAUGUAACUAAUAUCCUAAUGUACAUUGACAGAAAAUGGGUCUUUGCAGAUGCAAUUAAGGUGAGGGUCAAAUCAUCCUGGCUUAGGGUGGGCCUUAUAUCCAAUGAGAGUGCCCUUAUAAGAGACAGAAAAGGACAGAGAAGAAGGAGAGGUGAAGACAGAGGGAGAGUUUGGUGUGAUACGCCAACAAGACAAGGACCGCCAGUGAUUGCUAGGAGGCGUCAGAAGCUGGAAGAGGCGAGAAAGGGUUCUCCCCUAGGGUAUCCGAUGGAGCGUGGCCCGGCUGGCACCCUGGUUAAAGACUUCUAGCCUCCAGAACUAUGAGAAGAUAAACGUCUGUCAUUUCAAGCCACCCAGGUUAAGGUAAUUUGUUAUAGCAGCCCUAGGAAACGAACACAAUGACGAAGCGCUAACAUAAAGUUGUGUGCUGAACACCAGUUGCUUGAGGGGGUGGGGAGAACGAGAGGGGAUUUACCAUGAAGCUAAGGAAGCAAAGGGACCCUUACUUACAUUGGCCUCUUUUAAGGCACUGGCAAUGUGCUCACAUAGUCAUAUUUUUAAUUAAAUAAAAUUAAUAAUUUUGAAUUAUUUAAUAUAUUAAAAUACAAGCUAUCUUAGUAACAAUUGAUUAAGACCGAUAAUCCUUUCCCCUUAAUCACACUUCCCUUCAAAGUUAUUGAAGUACCUGUGAGCAUUUGUGGAUUCAACUAAGGUGGGGAGUUUAGUUUGGUUUAGAGGAAUUUCGUGUCUGUGGUUCACAGGGACUUUGGAGUUUAGUUCAGUGAUGUUGCUGGAGGUUCCAGUAGGGGACUGGUACCCAAAGUCCUCCAACUGCUCAAUGGGUGGGGGACGGAGUCAGAGGUUGUAUAGUGAAACGCAUUUAUCCUACAGCACGUGACACUGCAAGGAUGUGGGUGAUAAAGGAGAAAUAGCAAAGAGAAUGAGGCCAGAAGCUAGUCUGCAUACAGUCUCCCAAAGAUCUAUGUUUAUUAUUGGAAGGGGAGGGUUCAGUUUUCCCUAAAGACUGAUAAGUAAUCUGUCAGGAGUAUAUUCCAUUUCUUCAGCGUAUACAGUUAGAAAUGCACCAUAAUUUUUUCUUUCUUGGUGGGAAUUGUGCAGAAUAGACUAUAAUUGUUGUGUUUGCAGAGCAAAAGCACGUAGCAGUCCUCAGAGGGUAAGUACAUCUGUAACUGUGCAUAUAACAAACUUGGUAGAAGUUUUCCUAAAUUUCACAAAAAUCCUCAAAAUUUACAUGACAUUGACCAUAACAAGUUGUGAAUCUGAAAGAAACCUUUUAAAAUUAUCAACAAUAAAAAUGUAUUUUAAUCAACUCUCCUAGAAGAAUGAUUGAAUUAUCUUUUAAUUCUAUGAAAAAUUGUAUUAUAAAGCCCUUGUUAUAAGAAGUGGCAAUCAAAGCAGAUGUAGCCAAAAGAUGUCAAAAAAAAAGAAUGAUAAAAGUGAUUCAGGCUGCUAAUUAAUAAAAAUAUUGUGUUAUUUGUCUGGA
Molecule: long non-coding RNA, 3502 nt
Organism: Aethalodelphis obliquidens (Pacific white-sided dolphin)
Lineage: Eukaryota; Metazoa; Chordata; Mammalia; Artiodactyla; Delphinidae
Exons: 4
Source: RefSeq, a predicted model, not a curated record